This is a long non-coding RNA of Pseudophryne corroboree (corroboree frog), 353 nucleotides long. RefSeq lists it as uncharacterized. The transcript has 3 exons. Lineage: Eukaryota; Metazoa; Chordata; Amphibia; Anura; Myobatrachidae. The record is from RefSeq and is a predicted model, not a curated record.
AGCUGCAGCGGAAGCGCGCAGUUCCUCUCAGGCAGUUCAAGGGGCCAUGAGACAGAGCUACGUGAGGCAGUGUCUGCUGUUUUCGGCUCCCACUGUAGUGUAAGGAAAUCAAUUACAAAUCUUCUUGACACUUGACAUAGAUACACUCAGAAGUCUCCCAACACCUUCCCUCAAAAUCUAGGCUCAUCUCCUGGGAAAUUGUAUUCAUAUUUUUGGGGAUGAAGAUACAAAAAGAAAAUGGGUAGGGUAGGGACAGCGGACAUACUAUACAUUAAUAAAGAGCAUCAUUUUCUGUAGGUCUUGGAGUGCCAAGAGUCUGCCGAUGGAAGACAUUAAAUUACAGUAAAAUCCAA